Molecule: non-coding RNA, 755 nt
Organism: Cyanistes caeruleus (blue tit)
Lineage: Eukaryota; Metazoa; Chordata; Aves; Passeriformes; Paridae
Source: RefSeq, a predicted model, not a curated record
AAAAGUACAUCCAGGGAAUCCAUGAGGAUUGGGGAAAGUGGCGGAAAGUCUGAACUUAGAAGCCAAAGCUGCUGCCUCUUCUCUAGCCUGUCUAGCAGAGAUGACACCAUAGAACUUGCCAUUUAUUUCUCUUGUCCUGAGAAGUUCUUCAAGUAGCACUUUACAAAUAUGCAAAGGCAAGGCAGAGUGAGAGACCACCAUUAGUCUGUUUAAAGCAAGAUGGAUUUCUGCUCUAGGUUGAUCCAUGACUACAUGGCUCAGGUGUUUCGUGAAGAAUCACACGUCGGAUUUCAGAGAGAACCUGAAGCAUGUUCUGAUGGAGCAAUAAAUCACAUGCAGGACUAUUUUAAUGCUAAUAAUGUCUAUAACAGAUGCCAUUAUGCACCUAACUUUCCAUCAUGGGCUGUGCUGUUAGCUAUUAGACUAAUAAAACACCUACGGCUCCCUACGGUCCUGUAUUGCCCCAGUACAUUUAUAAUUUGCAAUAAUCUCUGAAUUAUCUCUGAUGCAAUAAGGCAAAUGUGCAGCUUGGGUAAAAUGUAACUUUGGUGGGAAAGAGGGCAUUUUCACACUGUCUGGGAAUCUGUCUCUACAGAUACAGUUUUGGCAAUAUUCACUGCUCUGGUGGCGUAGCUGGCUUUUGCUGCUGGCCAGAAUGUUCAGGAAGAGUUGGAGCACUACAAGUGUCUCACAAAUUCACUCUUGUUUUUGCUGAACUUUGAAUGCAACUUUAAUUUUUUUUUAAUAUUUAUUAU